RNAcentral lists this transfer RNA (78 nucleotides) under Candidatus Heimdallarchaeota archaeon. RNAcentral's name for it is "tRNA-Ile". It matches the Rfam family "tRNA". From Rfam's summary of the family: Transfer RNA (tRNA) molecules are approximately 80 nucleotides in length. Their secondary structure includes four short double-helical elements and three loops (D, anti-codon, and T loops). The record is from RNAcentral. Lineage: Archaea; Promethearchaeati; Candidatus Heimdallarchaeota.
GGGCCAUUAGCUCAGCUUGGUGAGAGCGCACGGCUGAUAACCGUGAGGUCCGCGGUUCGAAUCCGCGAUGGCCCACCA